RNAcentral lists this long non-coding RNA (338 nucleotides) under Dasypus novemcinctus (nine-banded armadillo). RNAcentral's name for it is "lncRNA (ENSDNOG00000051513.1)". Lineage: Eukaryota; Metazoa; Chordata; Mammalia; Cingulata; Dasypodidae. The record is from RNAcentral.
CGGAUGAGUGACGUCAUCAACACAGCGACGGAAGUCACAUCCUGGAAACACCUCCCCUGAUACUCGAGAAUGGCAGAGACUGGAGGACUCCACAAAUGCUGAAUUGAACAAAGGGAAAAAUAUCAGCUUAUCCCACCUUCUGCUCAUCUCAUUGUGAGUGAAAAUCCAGAGGAAGAUAGAUGCCUGCUAAGGUAUUGACAUUACAAUCAUGGAAUCACAGGUGAGUAGGGAAUUCUUGUUUAACUGAAAUUCCACCUCUGUUGCCAGCAGAUGAGAAGAUUUCUCCUAUUGGUGUGGAUAUUCCAAGUGUAUUCAGGAGAUAUUCAAGGAUCUGAGCU